This 274-nucleotide ribosomal RNA is filed under the name uncultured bacterium. RNAcentral describes it as "partial 16S ribosomal RNA". It matches the Rfam family "Bacterial small subunit ribosomal RNA", at positions 523 to 796 of the family's 1533-position model. The record is from RNAcentral.
AUACAGAGGGUGCAAGCGUUAAUCGGAAUUACUGGGCGUAAAGCGCACGUAGGUGGUUCAUUAAGUCAGAUGUGAAAGCCCCGGGCUCAACCUGGGAACUGCAUUUGAAACUGGUGAGCUAGAGUAUGGUAGAGGUAAGUGGAAUUCCAGGUGUAGCGGUGAAAUGCGUAGAUAUCUGGAGGAACAUCAGUGGCGAAGGCGACUUACUGGACCAAUACUGACACUGAGGUGCGAAAGCGUGGGGAGCAAACAGGAUUAGAAACCCCGGUAGUCC